UAAAUGGAAAAAAGAGCGAUUUCUUCGAUCCCUCUGCUUGCGACGACCAGCGGAAUUCGCCGAGCUGGGCCAUCGGUGCGGCGGAGACAAUGUACAACGGCGCCAGCGACGAAUAAGGCGGCGGACACGCUCUCGCUACGCAUAAGAAGAUCCCUUCUGCGUCCUGGGUCCGAAUUCUUCGGCGACUGACGGAUCCGGCGCCGGCGUUCAGUUUCGCCUCCGUCUCUAAUUCGUUUCUUUGGAAAGAAUGCAUAAAGAAAGUACUGCUUAGCAACUGUCUGCAGGAUCUCAUGGAACUUCACCAGGACUCAUCUUCUUCAAGUGGAUCGGGUCAUCACUUUGUCAAAGAGAUUUUGAAUAUUUUCUUCCAAAGUUAUAUUCUUCUAAAGAGAUUUAGUGUCAUUUUUUUUCUUUCUUUUAUGGAGAAAUAUUGUAGAUAAUAUCAUGUUUUGUUUUUGUUUUUUGUUUUUAAAAAGCUUAGAUGCUUUGAUGCGGCUUUUGUUGUCAAAGUGAUGGCUUUAAGAAAUGAAACAUUUUUAUUAUUGUAGGGAGAAAAAUGGUUUUAUAAUUUUUAUCUUUUAUUUUUAUCCUUCAAUAAUAAUUAUGUUUUUUUUC
This is a long non-coding RNA of Zingiber officinale, 615 nucleotides long. RefSeq lists it as uncharacterized. The transcript has 3 exons. Lineage: Eukaryota; Viridiplantae; Streptophyta; Magnoliopsida; Zingiberales; Zingiberaceae. The record is from RefSeq and is a predicted model, not a curated record.